GCCUGAGCAGGUUCACAGCUGCUCAGGGAUACACUUUCCAGCACAUUUAGGACUUGGAACAGCCCCAGGUUUCAGGAACACAUGGUGAUGGGGGAGGGAGUGGGGCUCAAAUAGACUAGGAAGGGGGAAGCAAGCUCCUUCUUUCUUUCUUCAAGAUGAAUCUCCAUUUUCAUCAUCUGAUAGCAGGAACAGCAUGUGAGGACRGCGGAUGAAUUGCAAACCUGUGCAGUUACAGCCUCCACCCAGCCCCCCAAGCCAGCCAGGGACRCUCCAGUGUACCCCGGAAGUCGACCCCUGGAGUGAGUUUCCAAUAGCCAUGGCCAAGGGGACGAGGGAGGAACUUUGGACUGUCCCUAAGAUCUGGGGAGCUGGGGCUCAUGCAGAUUCCAUCCCACAARGCAGUGGUGUCCUUCCUCUUUGUUCCUGCUGGCUUUUUAAGGAGGACACAGACAUGGAACUUUCCCAGCCUCUGCCAUCUCCUCUCUUUCUCUGAGGCAAGUAACUGCCUCACAACUGACAGGAGCCAGGUGACGCUGUUGUCUCUUGCCCAUAUUCCACCUCAGUCAUGGACCCCUCCACCUAAUCACUAGACAUGGUCCAGGUGCUGGUUUUAGUUAGAGCAGAAUAUGGUCCCUGAACCCUGAGACCCCCCACGUUGAUGGUGAAUCCAAAGGAAUGGGUAAGUCUUUAAUGCCCGUGUGACAGGAGCUGAUGCAGGACAAAACCUGACUUGAGCACUCUCAGUGACUCUGAGGGACCUGUGACAGGGACACGUGGCUACAGGCAGCCUUCCCCUCUGUCAGCAUCUACCUGGGCAACCUGGAGCAGGCUUCUCUGUGCGCCACAGCCCACCCGUGGGGAUGACAGCGGAUGUUCACCUGCCUGCCAGGGUGGCUGCAAGAUGCAAGGUAAACUGUGUGCACCACACCAGGGCAACGUAGAAAGCCUGUCUGACUCUCAGAUUGCUCUUCUCCCCCUUUUCUCGAUGUGGUGACUAAGGAUGGAGGACUGUCCCAUAGGAGCCAGGAUCAGAACAGGAAGGCUGAUGUGCUGCUGGAGCUGGCUGCCCCUUCCGGUCCUGCCUGCCAGGGGCAGUGCUGCACAGAGCUGGCUUCUGUGUGGGGCUCGGAGCAGCUCCCGGCUCCCACCCAAAGCCCCUUUCUCCUGUGCUCUUGCAGAGCUUGCUCACAGGCUCCCAUUCAGAGGCUGACUGAUUGAAGAGGCGGCUGUGGGUCGGCAGUGUGACCUUUGGGCCCGCCUUGGUGGGUGAGUGAGUUAAGCCCCCGAGGCCCCUCCACCCCAAAGGGACCAGCCAGGCCCUGAUUCUGCACARAUCUAGCUAGGAAGGUGCCAUAUGGCAGGGAGGACGGGGCUGAGGUCCUGGCUUUCAGCCCCCAUGGGUUACCCAYCCCUUCUCUUCAAUGUGCCCAUUCACAAAGCCAGGCAAAUAAUCACCCUUCUCUCUUCGUGUGGAUUAGAGGAGGGGAGGGGCU
Molecule: long non-coding RNA, 1493 nt
Filed under: Urocitellus parryii (Arctic ground squirrel)
Lineage: Eukaryota; Metazoa; Chordata; Mammalia; Rodentia; Sciuridae
Description: lncRNA (ENSUPAG00010012335.1)
Source: RNAcentral